RNAcentral lists this ribosomal RNA (138 nucleotides) under uncultured eukaryote. RNAcentral describes it as "partial 18S ribosomal RNA". It matches the Rfam family "Eukaryotic small subunit ribosomal RNA", at positions 214 to 352 of the family's 1831-position model. The record is from RNAcentral.
AUUCAAAGCCAAUGCCCUUCGGGGCUUCUUGGUGAUUCAUGAUAACUUCACGGACCGCACGGCCCUGCGCCGGCGAUGGUUCAUUCAAAUUUCUUCCCUAUCAACUUUCGAUGUUUGGGUCUUGGCCAAACAUGGUUG